GUGUCAGCCGCCGCGGUAAUACGAAGGGGGCUAGCGUUGCUCGGAAUCACUGGGCGUAAAGGGUGCGUAGGCGGGUCUUUAAGUCAGGGGUGAAAUCCUGGAGCUCAACUCCAGAACUGCCUUUGAUACUGAAGAUCUUGAGUUCGGGAGAGGUGAGUGGAACUGCGAGUGUAGAGGUGAAAUUCGUAGAUAUUCGCAAGAACACCAGUGGCGAAGACGGCUCACUGGCCCGAUACUGACGCUGAGGCACGAAAGCGUGGGGAGCAAAUAGGAUUAGAAACCCUAGUAGUCC
Molecule: ribosomal RNA, 292 nt
Filed under: uncultured Bradyrhizobium sp.
Lineage: Bacteria; Pseudomonadati; Pseudomonadota; Alphaproteobacteria; Hyphomicrobiales; Nitrobacteraceae
Description: partial 16S ribosomal RNA
Rfam family: Bacterial small subunit ribosomal RNA
Source: RNAcentral